CUUCGCAUUCUCUGGGCUUCUGAGCUUUUUAAUAGUCCUAAAUUCAUUGUCCUAAAUUCCUAGCUCGUCGCCGUCUCAUGUGUUCUUAAUAGCUAGUUAAUUGCACAUAUACCCAUGCGGUAUCAAUGUUUUGAACUUUCUACCUCAAUAGUUUUGCAGAUAGACCUCCGGGUUUAAUUUUUUUCUUUUUACUCUUUCACCUUGGGUGAAAUUCGGAGGAUAUUGCUUAUGGGGUGAAAUCUUUGAGGAUAUUGUCCCUGGGUGAAAUUAGGGAGCCUAUCUGAGGCAAAAAGCGUGUAGAUGUUCACAUCUGAAUAUAUAAUAUGUAAACUUCCUAUAGAUGAUGCGGCAAGUUUGGAUGAGUUAAAGGCUGAUAGUGGAUCAAUCUCAAGCACAAGCAACAAGAGGGAGAGAAUGCGAAGGAGCAAUGAGGAUGUCUUACCUCAUGUGGCUAAAACAGCAGCAAAUUUGGUAUAUUUGGUAAAUUUCUUGAUAAUUUAGCUGAAAAGAUGAGUGUAGACUUUUUGAGUGGAGUAAGAAAAGAAGUAACCUAAAUAAGGAGAUGAUGAAGCUCACAAAUUUGAGCAUCAGAGAUCAAAUUAAAGCUGCUGUAAUGUUAGCUAAAGACAAUGAGUGGCUUGAUAUAUUUUUUACUUUUGAGGAGGUUGAGAGGACUGAUGAAUUUGUGAGGAUUUUAUUGGGCGGAGAUCUAAACUGAUAAGACUUGAUUAAGUGAUGAUUUUCUACAUUAGCGAUGAGUAUUGAGAAGAGUUUCUAGCUACUUGCUUCCGUCUUUUUUUUUUUCUUUAUUGUCAAUUUUUUUUUUCUUGAUGUCAAUCACUUGAUGUUUAAUUUUAAUUGUAAAAUUCUUGUAGUUCAUGUACAUUGAAUGUUGAAAUCGUAUGAAUGUCAUGUUUCAUGUA
Molecule: long non-coding RNA, 923 nt
Organism: Asparagus officinalis (garden asparagus)
Lineage: Eukaryota; Viridiplantae; Streptophyta; Magnoliopsida; Asparagales; Asparagaceae
Exons: 2
Source: RefSeq, a predicted model, not a curated record